RNA transcript from Octodon degus (degu), 1491 nucleotides. It is a transcript of the gene named COP9 signalosome complex subunit 1 pseudogene, with no coding region annotated. Lineage: Eukaryota; Metazoa; Chordata; Mammalia; Rodentia; Octodontidae. The record is from RefSeq and is a predicted model, not a curated record. The transcript has a single exon.
GAUGCCGCUGCCGGUUCAGGUGUUUAACCUGCAGGGGACUGUAGAGCCCAUGCAGAUUGAUGUAGACCCACAGGAGGAUUCCCAGAAUGCACCUGAUGUCAACUAUGUGGUGGAGAACCCCACUCUGGAUCUAGAGCAGUAUGUGGCCAGCUACAGUGGUCUGAUGCGCAUUGAGCGGCUACAGUUCAUUGCUGACCACUGCCCACCACUGCGGGUGGAGGCCCUGAAGAUGGCUCUCUCCUUUGUGCAGAGGACCUUCAAUGUGGAUAUGUAUGAGGAGAUCCACCGCAAGCUCUCAGAGGCCACCUGGGAGCUGCAAAGCGCACCAGAUGCCAUCCCUGAGAGUGGUAUAGAGCCCCCACCCCUGGACACGGCCUGGGUUGAGGCCACUCGGAAGAAGGCCCUGCUGAAGCUGGAGAAGCUGGACACAGAUCUAAAAAACUAUAAGGGCAACUCCAUCAAGGAGAGCAUCCGGCGCAGCCAUGAUGACCUGGGUGACCACUACCUAGACUGUGGAGACCUCAGCAAUGCCCUCAAGUGUUACUCUCGGGCCCGAGACUAUUGCACUAGUGCCAAACAUGUCAUCAGCAUGUGCCUCAAUGUCAUCAAGGUCAGUGUCUACUUGCAAAAUUGGUCUCAUGUGCUGAGCUAUGUCAGUAAGGCUGAGUCAACCCCAGAGAUUGCUGAGCAGCGCGGAGAACAGGACAGCCAGACCCAAGCUAUCCUCACCAAACUGAAGUGUGCUGCAGGCUUGGCUGAGCUGGCUGUGCGCAAGUAUAAGCAGGCUGCCAAGUGCUUCCUGCUGGCCUCAUUUGAUCACUGUGAUUUCCCUGAGCUGCUUUCCCCCAGUAAUGUGGCCAUCUAUGGUGGUUUGUGUGCUUUGGCCACCUUUGACCGGCAGGAGCUGCAGCGCAAUGUCAUCUCCAGCAGUUCCUUCAAGUUAUUCCUGGAGCUGGAGCCACAGGUCCAAGACAUCAUCUUCAAAUUCUAUGAGUCCAAGUAUGCAUCGUGCCUGAAGAUGCUGGAUGAGAUGAAGGACAAUCUGCUCUUGGACAUGUACCUGGCUCCUCACGUCUGGACCCUGUAUACCCAGAUUCGCAAUCAUGCUCUCAUCCAGUAUUUCAGUCCCUACGUUUCGGCGGACAAGCACAAGAUGGCCACAGCUUUCAAUACCACUGUGGCAGCCCUGGAGGAUGAGCUGACACAGCUCAUCCUGGAGGGACUCAUUAACGCUUGCAUUGACUCACAUAGCAAGAUCCUGUAUGCAAGGGAUGUAGAUCAGCGCAGCACCACCUUUGAGAAGUCCCUGCUGAUGGGCAAGGAGUUCCAGCGACGGGCCAAGGCCAUGAUCCUGAGGGCAGCUGUGCUGCGCAACCAGAUCCAUGUGAGGUCUCCUCCCAGAGAAGGGAGCCAGGGAGAACUGACGCCAGCGAACAGCCAGUCGCGUAUGAGCACCAACAUGUGAGGGGUGCAUGCCUCUCCCUGCACCAC